GUUGAACGCUGGCGGCAUGCCUUACACAUGCAAGUCGAACGGCAGCACGGGUUCUUUCCCCUGGUGCCGAAUGGCGAACGGGUCGUUAAUGCCUCGGACCAUAUCCUUUGGUAGCGUGUCGCCCGCCGGAAGCCGGCUUCAUACCGCCUCCGAUCUUCCGACGAAAGCCCACGACCUCCGCUCCUCCCGCUGUACGGUUGGCCGAUGUCUGAUUAGCUCGUUGGUGGGGUAAAGGCCUACCAAGGCGACGAUCAGUAGCCGGACUGAGAGGACGACCAGCCAGACUGGGACGGAGACACGGCCCAGACCCCUGGGGGAGGGAGCAGGGGGGAAUGUUGGACAAAGGGCGAAGGCCUGAUCCAGCAACGCCGCGUGUGUGAAGAAGGCCUUCGGGUUGUAAAGCAGUUUUGGCAGGAAAGAAAGCCGUGGGCCUAAAACGGGCAGGGGAAGGAGGGACCGGAAGAAAAAGCACCGGCUAACUACGUG
RNAcentral lists this ribosomal RNA (486 nucleotides) under uncultured bacterium. RNAcentral describes it as "partial 16S ribosomal RNA". It matches the Rfam family "Bacterial small subunit ribosomal RNA", at positions 28 to 507 of the family's 1533-position model. The record is from RNAcentral.